Molecule: long non-coding RNA, 1486 nt
Organism: Camelus dromedarius (Arabian camel)
Lineage: Eukaryota; Metazoa; Chordata; Mammalia; Artiodactyla; Camelidae
Gene: BOD1
Product: biorientation of chromosomes in cell division 1
Exons: 4
Source: RefSeq, a predicted model, not a curated record
CUCCGCCGCCGCUCCCGCCACCCCCCCUUCCUCCUCCUCCUCCCCCGCCGCCUCCUUCUCCUGCCCCUCCGCCACCUCCACACGACCCAGGUCCUCUGUCCCUGAGGGGAAGCCGUAUUCGGUCUCCUUCGCGGGCCUUGGGCGCAGCCAUGGCGGACGGUGGUGGCGGCGGGGGCACCGGCGCGGUGGGCGGUGGCGGCGCGGGCCAGGCCUCGGCGGGGGCGGCAACAGGCGCGACGGGGGCCGGCGGGAGCGGCGGGCCCAUCAACCCGGCCUCACUGCCUCCCGGCGACCCGCAACUCAUCGCUCUCAUCGUGGAGCAGCUCAAGAGCCGGGGCCUGUUUGACAGCUUCCGCCGGGACUGCCUGGCAGACGUGGACACCAAGCCAGCUUACCAAAACCUGAGGCAGAAAGUGGAUAAUUUUGUGUCAACCCAUCUGGACAAGCAGGAAUGGAAUCCUACGAUGAACAAAAACCAAUUGCGAAAUGGUCUGAGGCAGAGUGUGGUUCAGUCAGGGAUGCUGGAAGCUGGAGUGGACAGAAUUAUUUGUCAGGUGGUGGAUCCCAAACUAAACCACAUCUUCAGGCCGCAGAUAGAACGAGCAAUUCAUGAGUUCCUGGCGGCCAAGAAAAAAGAAGCCGUGCCAGCUCCCCCACCGGAGCCCGAGAGCCAGGACCCCGCAGCUCCAGCCCAGGAUGCCUCCUAAGAGUAUGCCUCGGCUCCAUUGAAUUGAUGGUGAAGAACUGGAUUCGGCUACGUAAGAGUACAGCUUCAAAUGCAGACAGGCCAAGGUCGUCGCUGACUUCCAGAUUCAACUUUGACUGUGGGGCGGUUUCCAGAGAGAGCGGGGAGCAGGUGUGGCAGUAGGGAUGCUGACCUUGCCUGCCCCCACGUCGUGCUGCCGUGUGGACAGCCUGUUCGAGGAGACGACAGCCAGCAGACACUACAGAUACACUGAGAAACACUACCGCAACCUGGGGUUGUCCUGAAACAAACCUUUAUACUUGAACUUGGAGACUGUGUGGACUUUAUGGUUUGUGCUUGGGGGUAAGCAAAAGCUGCGGUGCGGGAACGUGACCAGCCCCAAAGGUGCAGUCCGACAGUGACGGUCAGGGUUCCCGGGGACAGGUAUUCGGCGACGCUCGUUUGAUUGAUAUUGUUUCCCAGAGCUGCAGACUUAGAGUUUACAGGCAUUAGCAUCAAACGGCUUUAAGAUUGUUGUGACCCUCUCAUACGUGACUCUUGUAGCCUCAGUUUCCUUUCCCCUGUAAGUGGUGUCAAAACGUGGGACCCCAGGAUGCGUGAGGAAAUGCAGGCUUAGGCAUAAAGGAGAAACAUUUGCAGGCUCUCUGUCCAGGGCUGCUGCUUGUCCUGCAGGGGCUAGUGAGCCUUGGACAUGUUUGUUGUCUUCAUGUUUGUGGUUUUUAGAAGGUGAAUAGUCAGUAAGUGGCUUGAGUUUUGUAAUAAAAUCAUUUGAUACUCUUA